AGUCGAGCGAGAUGCCGGGUGUAGCAAUACAUUCGGCGUCUAGCGGCAAACGAGUGAGUAACACGUAAGAAAUCUACCCCGAAGAAGGGAAUAACUCGCCGAAAGGCGGGCUAAUGCCCUAUAUAAUCCCAGAAAGGCAUCUUUUUGGGAUGAAAGGCCCGCAAGGGCCGCUCUGGGAGGAUCUUGCGACCUAUCAGCUAGUUGGCGGGGUAACGGCCCACCAAGGCUAUGACGGGUAGCCGGCCUGAAAGGGCGAUCGGCCACGGAGGCACUGCGACACGGGCCUCACUCCUACGGGAGGCAGCAGUGGGGAAUUUUGGACAAUGGGGGAAACCCUGAUCCAGCAACGCUGCGUGAGGGACGAAGGUCUUCGGAUUGUAAACCUCUUUUGUUCGGGAAGAAAGCCCGCAAGGGUUUGACGGUACCGGAUGAAUAAGCCACGGCUAACUACGUGCCAGCAGCCGCGGUAAGACGUAGGUGGCGAGCGUUACUCGGAAUUACUAGGCGUAAAGCGCGUGUAGGUGGGUGCUUAAGUCCGCUGCGAAAUCUCCCGGCUCAACUGGGAGGGGUCAGCGGAUACUGGGCGUCUUGAGUCGGGUAGGGGGUACUGGAAUUCCCGGUGUAGCGGUGAAAUGC
This 636-nucleotide ribosomal RNA is filed under the name uncultured bacterium. RNAcentral describes it as "bacterial SSU rRNA". It matches the Rfam family "Bacterial small subunit ribosomal RNA", at positions 60 to 689 of the family's 1533-position model. The record is from RNAcentral.